Long non-coding RNA from Chiroxiphia lanceolata (lance-tailed manakin), 100 nucleotides. RefSeq lists it as uncharacterized. The record is from RefSeq and is a predicted model, not a curated record. The transcript is spliced from 3 exons. Lineage: Eukaryota; Metazoa; Chordata; Aves; Passeriformes; Pipridae.
AAAUAUUCAAUAGCUCAUGGGUGACCUUUCACUUCCCUCAUUGGCAGCUGGUUAUAAAGCAGGAUCUAGAGAAGAUGACCCAGGAGACUAAAGGAUAAAA